Molecule: ribosomal RNA, 411 nt
Filed under: Triticum aestivum (bread wheat)
Lineage: Eukaryota; Viridiplantae; Streptophyta; Magnoliopsida; Poales; Poaceae
Description: partial small subunit ribosomal RNA
Source: RNAcentral
UUGAUUGAUCUUGGCUUUGCUGGAACACCCUUCACCUAUGACAAUCAGAGGAGUGGACAAAAUAAUGUUCCGGUUCAUCUUGACCGAGCGGUGGCGACAAAUGAUUGGCAUAAUAUUUUUGCAUAUGUUUCGAUGCUAGAUGUACCAUCACCUUGCUCUGAUCACGUUGUUGUGAUAGUCAAGGGCGCAACGGAUCUGGGGCCGUCUAGGGUUUCAUCUAGACGAUAUGAACUCUUUUGGGAGAGAGAUGAGGGUCUACCGGAUGUCAUUAAGCAAGCCUGGGAUUAUGUUGGGUCGGUGGGUAAUAUGGCCGAGCUGCAAGAAGCUUUGAAUAGAACCAUGACGGCACUGAAAUCAUGGAGUAGGAAAUUCAGCAACGUCACGACGGAGUUGGCCAAGUCUAGAACCUAA